RNAcentral lists this ribosomal RNA (478 nucleotides) under uncultured bacterium. RNAcentral's name for it is "partial 16S ribosomal RNA". It matches the Rfam family "Bacterial small subunit ribosomal RNA", at positions 28 to 523 of the family's 1533-position model. The record is from RNAcentral.
GACGAACGCUGGCGGCGUGCUUAACACAUGCAAGUCGAACGGUAAGGCCCUUCGGGGUACACGAGUGGCGAACGGGUGAGUAACACGUGGGUGAUCUGCCCUGCACUUCGGGAUAAGCCUGGGAAACUGGGUCUAAUACCGGAUAGGACCACUGCCUGCAUGGGUGGUGGUGGAAAGCUUUUGCGGUGUGGGAUGGGCCCGCGGCCUAUCAGCUUGUUGGUGUGGUGAUGGCCUACCAGGGCGACGACGGGUAGCCGGCCUGAGAGGGUGACCGGGCAGACUGGGACUGAGAUACGGCCAGAGUUCCUACGGGAGGGGGCGGUGGGGAAUAUUGCACAAUGGGGGCAAGCCUGAUGCAGCGACGCCGCGUGAGGGAUGACGGCCUUCGGGUUGUAAACCUCUUUCAGCACCGACGAAGCGGAAGUGACGGUAGGUGCAGAAGAAGGACCGGCCAACUGCGUGCCAGCCGCCGCCGUAA